GACGAACGCUGGCGGCGUGCCUAAUACAUGCAAGUCGAGCGAAGUUUUUCUGGUGCUUGCACUAGAAAAACUUAGCGGCGAACGGGUGAGUACACGUAAAGAACCUGCCUCAUAGACUGGGACAACUAUUGGAAACGAUAGCUAAUACCGGAUAACAGUAUUUCUCGCAUGAGAGAUAUUUAAAAGUUGGUUAUGCUAACACUAUGAGAUGGCUUUGCGGUGCAUUAGCUAGUUGGUGGGGUAAAGGCCCACCAAGGCGACGAUGCAUAGCCGACCUGAGAGGGUGAUCGGCCACACUGGGACUGAGACACGGCCCAGACUCCUACGGGAGGCAGCAGUAGGGAAUCUUCCGCAAUGGGCGAAAGCCUGACGGAGCAACGCCGCGUGAGUGAAGAAGGAUUUCGGUUCGUAAAGCUCUGUUGUUAGGGAAGAAUGGAUAUGUAGUAACUAUACAUGUAAGAGACGGUACCUAACCAGAAAGCCACGGCUAACUACGUG
RNAcentral lists this ribosomal RNA (498 nucleotides) under uncultured bacterium. RNAcentral's name for it is "partial 16S ribosomal RNA". It matches the Rfam family "Bacterial small subunit ribosomal RNA", at positions 28 to 507 of the family's 1533-position model. The record is from RNAcentral.